GAGACAGAGGCAUAGUGAUUUACAGUACAGUCUACAGUAGUGCACAUUUGUGAGAAAGCUGUGAGGGAAGUGUCUGGGAAUAGAGCAUGAAGUGUACAUGUGUUGGUCAUAAAACUGAGCAACAAGGGAGGGCAUGUGUUUGAGUAAAACCAUACUUCGUGUUCAUUCUCAUGGGGAUUAUAUAGCUGACAGGUUUAUCCGUGUGUGUGAAAUAAAUCAGUUUAUUCCUAUGCCUGGUUAGGGAGGUUGAUUCAUUUUUCUGGAUAACAGAGAUAGUUGGUAUGUUAAUUAAAUAUUAUUCUAUACAAGUUGUUGUCAAACUUUUUCAGGUGGCACACAACCUAAACCUAUAAAUCAUUGCUGCACCAAAGUAUUUACAGUUUUUUUUUAGUAGAAAUGAGACUGUGAAUGACAUGGCCUAAGUUGUCUCUGAAUGUCAUGUUUAUUCAUUAAACCCUUUAUACUUGUUAUUGCAGAAGAGUGUGAUGGAGAUCUGGUGUCACUGAGCGUGCAUGUGCUAUCCAAGCUCUUAAACGAAACAUCUGAAGCUUGCAGCUGGGUCUGACUGCAUGUCUUGAUUUAGCUCCAUGGAAUUUAGACUAUUUGUUGUUGCUGAAUUCGUCUGGUGGUUAGAGCAGACUCAACUUCUCCACCCUGCCUAUAUAUAAGAUAUACAAAUCCCUUAGUGCAAAAUGUUCAACCAUGGGGCUCCACAGAAGGUUUAACACACCUCACUUGAUCCCACUACCGUGUGAAUCCACUGAAAUUUCCUGCAUGUAGCAAGUUUGAUGUGGCCCAGGGGACAUACUUACUGCCUGACUGGUGUUUUCUUUGUACUAGCUUCAGUAGAUUUACUCGUUUAUUUAAACAACCAUUCAAGGCCAAAGAUGUUAUUUAUGAAUCCUUAGUGACAACAUGUGUGGACAUUUACAUGUAAACGUUUGGGAUAAAUCCUGUGAUUUCAGUGGAAUUGAUUUAAAUGUGGUCAGAUGUGACAUAUACAGAAGUUUAUUCAAUGUUUAUUUUUUGUUUAAUUUUCUCAGAACAUCAAGAUAAUUACAGUAAAUAUAUAUAAAAACAUAAAACACAUACUAUGCUAAUCACUUAUUACUGCUAUUGUGUACAAACAUUAUGAAAAUUGUGUUUUAUUGUUUAGAGGUUCAGAAAUUUGCCUUCUCAACAGUCAGUUGAAUCAGGAGAAUUGAAUAUGACAAACAAAACUAUUUAAGCACUCACUCAUACACAUACACUUUCACAUGCUAAACAACAAUCCUAACCCCCCCCCCCCCCACCUUACACACCU
Carassius auratus (goldfish) is the source of this 1303-nucleotide long non-coding RNA. RefSeq lists it as uncharacterized. The transcript has 2 exons. The record is from RefSeq and is a predicted model, not a curated record. NCBI's taxonomy places the organism in Eukaryota, Metazoa, Chordata, Actinopteri, Cypriniformes, Cyprinidae.